This is a long non-coding RNA of Homo sapiens (human), 1821 nucleotides long. The record is from Ensembl. Lineage: Eukaryota; Metazoa; Chordata; Mammalia; Primates; Hominidae.
GGGGUCUUAGAGAAACAUCUUUUGAGCCACAGACUUCUUUGUUACCAGAAGGAAAAUGAAAGAAGAAAUUUAAAUACCACUUGAAGAGAGUUUCCUCAUCAGCAAAGUCAGAAAAAGUAUGUACCUGAAGGACUGAUUGUAAGGCUGGGAUGAGAGAAUCCAUGUGAUCAGCCCUCACCAACAGGUGCUGCCCAGUUCAUGAGUGCUGCUGCUGUCCUGCCCAAGUACCCAGCUUGCAGAGUGCCAGAGUUAGAGUCCCAGGGGUGUUCUCCACAGCUGCAUGCUUGAUCCAGGCCUAUCAGCAUCUGAGGAAUACAUCCAAAGAGGGUGAUACUGUGGCAUGAUGGUACCAGGAUUCCAAGUUCAUUCCAGAUCAUUGGGUAGAGACUAGAAAUGUACCGAGCAGUGCGCAAAGAAGAUGAGGAGGGUUCUACAGUUUCUCCAGAUACAUACCAUGACAAUUUGUUUUUUUAAAAAAGAAGAAAGCCUGCAGGAAAAAAUCUACAACUUUCAUCAAAUUACUCAGGGAGACUUUAUUCUAAAGAGACUGAAAACGACCAACAUCAAUUUUGACUCCUAUGGGCAUCUGUAAAUAGCUUCAAGGUUUUAAGGUGAAAUGUCAUGUACCAAAAUACACAUUCUGGAGAAGCAGGAAGCUACAGACCAACUUGAGAUGAAAGUCUCAUAUCAAUGUUUUCCCAAGUGUGCUCCUUGGAAUACAGGUUGACAUGAUAUGAUGCCCAGCAAGGGAAACAAAACAUAUUCAUGUUCAAAUUAGUUGGGGAAAUGCUGGACUAAAUAAGGUUUGAUGGGAUUCUUUUUUCUGCAGGACUUCUCAGAAGGGGCUAGAGUAGGCAAAGUUUCCCAGAUUUACCUAAUAAAAGCAUUGUUUCUGUGGGAGUUUCAUUUGUUAUUACAUGUUUCCUGAAUGCAGAUUCAUAGACUAUCCUUUGGGGAACCCUCGUCCUCACGGGAUGUAUGUUCAUGGUGGUGUCUUCGAGUUUGUGCCCUUGUGAAGCAUUCUGGCAGCAAGCAUCUGAACACUUCCAAAAGGGGGCGAUAUUUAGGAGAAAUCGCUCAGCCUGAGUUAGAACAAAUGCAGCUGCUGGUGUCUCUUGGUGCCUGGGAGCCCUAGAGUGUCAGAGGGAGGAGCGUGCACACUGGAACCAGCAGCCUGGUGCUGCGUCUCAGCUCUGUCGCUAACUGGCUAUGCACCUCUGGGCAUGGCACUUAACCCUUCUGAGCCCCAGCCCGCCAUCUGUAAAAAGGGCUUGAUGUGAGGAUUGAAUGAGAUCAUGCAGGGAACACAAUGUCUGGCACUUGGAAGCGUCCACCAUAAAGAGCCAAGGCAGUAGAUGGCCCAGCUGGGUUUGGUCCAGGCAGAGUUUACCCUCUGCCCUGGAGGCUCCAGGAAAUGCUGCCACGUGGCUCCUAUUGCCUUAACCACAUCCGACCUGUUCCUGACAGCUCCCCACAUCUCCAGCUCCUUUGCUGGUGCUCCAGGCACCUCCAAACGUGGCGAGCCCCUCUCCCCUGCCCUCUUGUGGCAGCUGACCUGGCAGGAGUGGGACCAAGACAUCCAAGGCAGCUCCUUUCCACCUGCAUGGGCACUUUCCUCAGGACAUCCUUGCCCCUGGCACCACCUUGGGCCAGCAAGCCACAUGGAAAUGGAUGCAGAGGCACCACUGUUUGCUGACAAUUAUACACUGUCCUUAAGGUCACCCUUGGCGAUCUGUCACCAGGAGCAGACAAACCCACACCUCAACCAUCCCAUCAGAGCUUGUUUCUAUCUGCAUCUGUCAUCGCUGAUCGCAUUUGAAU